GACGAACGCUGGCGGCGUGCUUAACACGUGCAAGUCGAACGGAAAGGCCCUGCUUUUGUGGGGUGCUCGAGUGGCGAACGGGUGAGUAACACGUGAGUGACCUGCCCUUGACUUUGGGAUAACUUCAGGAAACUGGGGCUAAUACCGGAUAGGAGCUCCUGCUGCAUGGUGGGGGGGAGAAAGUUUCGGCGGGUGGGGAUGGACUCGCGGCUGAUCAGCUUGUUGGUGGGGUAGUGGCAUACCACGGCAUUGACGGGUAGCCGGCCUGAGAGGGUGACCGGCCACAUUGGGACUGAGAUACGGACCAGACUCCUACGGGAGGCAGAAGUGGGGAAUAUUGCACAAUGGGCGGAAGCCUGAUGCAGCAACGCCGCGUGUGGGAUGACGGCCUUCGGGUUGUAAACCGCUUACGCCUGUGACGAAGCGUGAGUGACGGUAACGGGUAAAGAAGCACCGGCUAACUACGUG
Molecule: ribosomal RNA, 468 nt
Filed under: uncultured bacterium
Lineage: Bacteria
Description: partial 16S ribosomal RNA
Rfam family: Bacterial small subunit ribosomal RNA
Source: RNAcentral